GGAAGUAAAAGUGUAACAAGGUCUCCGUAGGUGAACCUGCGGAGGGAUCAUUACAGAGUUCUCGCCCUCGCGGGUAGAUCUCCCACCCACUGUUAUCGUUACUGUGUUGCUUUGGCGGGCCGCCGGGCCCCGCUCGGCCGCCGGCUCCGGCUGGCGCGCGCCCGCCAGAGGCCCAGCAAACUCUGAAUGUUAGUGUCGUCUGAGUACUAUAUAAUAGUUAAAACUUUCAACAACGGGUCCCUUGGUUCUG
Molecule: unclassified non-coding RNA, 250 nt
Filed under: plant metagenome
Description: partial contains small subunit ribosomal RNA and internal transcribed spacer 1
Rfam family: Eukaryotic small subunit ribosomal RNA (bases 1-53)
Source: RNAcentral